GGUCACGUAGCUCAGCAGGAUAGAGCACGAGCCUUCUAAGCUUGUGGUCAGAGGUUCGAAUCCUCUCGUGAUCG
RNAcentral lists this transfer RNA (74 nucleotides) under Mesomycoplasma hyopneumoniae 168. Its description in RNAcentral is "Mycoplasma hyopneumoniae 168 tRNA-Arg". It matches the Rfam family "tRNA". From Rfam's summary of the family: Transfer RNA (tRNA) molecules are approximately 80 nucleotides in length. Their secondary structure includes four short double-helical elements and three loops (D, anti-codon, and T loops). Lineage: Bacteria; Bacillati; Mycoplasmatota; Mycoplasmoidales; Metamycoplasmataceae. RNAcentral also lists the same sequence under 1 other name. The record is from RNAcentral.